Molecule: ribosomal RNA, 440 nt
Filed under: uncultured Hyphomonadaceae bacterium
Lineage: Bacteria; Pseudomonadati; Pseudomonadota; Alphaproteobacteria; Hyphomonadales; Hyphomonadaceae
Description: bacterial SSU rRNA
Rfam family: Bacterial small subunit ribosomal RNA
Source: RNAcentral
CCUACGGGGGGCUGCAGUGGGGAAUCUUGGACAAUGGGCGCAAGCCUGAUCCAGCCAUGCCGCGUGAGUGAAGAAGGCCUUAGGGUUGUAAAACUCUUUCGCCGGAGAAGAUAAUGACGGUAUCCGGAGAAGAAGCACCGGCUAACUUCGUGCCAGCAGCCGCGGUAAUACGAAGGGGGCUAGCGUUGUUCGGAAUUACUGGGCGUAAAGCGCACGUAGGCGGGUUUGUACGUAGGGGGAGAAAUCCCAGGGCUCAACCCUGGAACUGCAUUCUAGACUGCAAGCCUUGAGGUCAGGAGAGGCGAGUGGAAUACCGAGUGUAGAGGUGAAAUUCGUAGAUAUUCGGUGGAACACCAGUGGCGAAGGCGACUCGCUGGACUGAUACUGACGCUGAGGUGCGAAAGCGUGGGGAGCAAACAGGAUUAGAUACCCCAGUAGUC